AUGCCUCAGGCUCACAAGAAGCUCAGCUGCUUCCUCCUCCUCCUUCUCGUCGCUGUUAGCCUUGCUAUCUGCAGCGUCGGCCAGCAGUUCGUCUACUCCAGCUUCGCCGGCGCCAACAUCACCCUCGGCGGCGCGGCCGCGGUCACUCCAACCGGUCUUCUCGAGCUCACCAACGGCACGCUCCGCCAGAAGGCCCACGCCAUCCACCCGGCGCCGUUCCGCUUCCGCGAGCCGGCGGCGCGGAACCGGACGGUGCGGUCGUUCUCGGCCUCCUUCGUGUUCGGCAUCCUCUGCCCCGACGCCAACAACUGCGGCCAUGGCAUCGUCCUGUUCGUCGCCCCUGGGGGCUACAACUUCUCCGCCGCGUUCCCGAGCCAAUAUCUCGGCCUUGUUAACAACAGCACCAACGGCGCCGCCGCGAACCACAUCUUCGGCGUCGAACUCGACACCGACCAGAACAACGAGUUCCGCGACAUCGACGGCAACCACGUCGGCAUCGACGUCAACGGGCUCACGUCCCUCGCGUCCAGCAGCGCCGGCUACUUCGCCGACGACGGCAUCCUCCACAACCUGACGCUCGCAAGCGGCACGGCGAUGCAGGUGUGGGUGGACUACGACGGCGAAGAGAAACUGAUCACCGUGGCCAUGGCUGCCCUGGGAACGGCCAAACCCGUGAAGCCGCUGCUCUCCAAGACCUGCGACCUCUCAACUGUGCUCACGGACACGGCGUACGUGGGCUUCUCGUCGGCCACGGGUUCCUUCAACUCGCAACACUACGUUCUUGGCUGGAGUUUCGCGAUGGACGGACCUGCUCCGGCCAUCGACAUCGCCAAGCUGCCAAAGCUCCCCCGCUUUGGCCCGAAGCGCCAUCCCAAGCUCGCACAGAUCAUCCCACCCGUAGCGACGACAGCGUUCAUCUUUGCCGCGGGCACCCUCAUCGUCCUCCUAAUACGACGGCGGCUCAAGUACAGCGAGCUCCGGGAAGAUUGGGAGGUCGAGUUCGGGCCGCACCGGUUCUCCUACAAGGAUCUGUUCAGCGCCACCGGCGGGUUCAAGGAGAAGAAUCUGCUCGGUGUGGGAGGGUUCGGGAGGGUAUACAAAGGGGUGCUACCGGCGCCCAAACUGGAGAUCGCCGUCAAGAAGGUGUCACAUGACUCAAAACAAGGCAUGAAAGAGUUCAUCGCCGAGGUUGUGAGCAUUGGGCGACUACAACAUCGCAAUCUCGCUCAGUUACAUGGUUAUUGCAGGCGUAAAGGUGAACUGCUCUUGGUAUACGAGUACAUGUCAAAUGGGAGCCUUGAUAGGCACUUGUAUGGCGAUGAUGAGAAGCCGGUUCUAGAUUGGGACAAAAGGUUCCGGAUCAUCAAGGGAAUUGCUUCCGGGUUGCUCUACCUCCACGAGGAGUGUGAGAAAGUAAUCAUCCAUCGGGACAUCAAAGCUAGUAAUGUCCUCCUCGACAAUGAGAUGAAUGGUCGACUCGGUGACUUUGGGCUGGCAAGGUUGUACGACCGUGGCGCCAACCCACAAACCACACAUGUGGUUGGGACCAUAGGAUACCUAGCUCCAGAGCUCGGUCGCACUAGCAAGGCAACCCCCCUGACCGACGUGUUCGCCUUCGGCAUAUUCCUUCUUGAGGUCACAUGUGGACAAAGGCCCAUUAGGCAAAAUUUACAAGGCGAACAAUUAAUGCUGGUCGACUGGGUACUUGAGCAUUGGCACGGAGGAUCACUGGCUGAAACCGUGGAUACCAAGCUUCAUAGCUACGAUGCCGGUGAGGCUUGCCUAGCAUUGAAGCUAGGAUUAUUAUGCUCGCAUCCUCUCUCCAAUUUAAGGCCAGGAAUGCGACAGGUCAUGAGGUACCUUAAUGGAGACGUGCAACUACCGGAGCUUACGUUGAUGAAUGAGAGCUUCGAGAUUCUUGCGAUGAUGCAGAACGAAGGGUUUGACUCGUACGUCAUGUCUUACCCUUCAUCGAUGGAAAGUGUGACCACCUUGUCCAGCCUUGUAGAGGAAACAUGA
RNAcentral lists this ribosomal RNA (2019 nucleotides) under Triticum aestivum (bread wheat). RNAcentral's name for it is "partial small subunit ribosomal RNA". Lineage: Eukaryota; Viridiplantae; Streptophyta; Magnoliopsida; Poales; Poaceae. The record is from RNAcentral.